RNAcentral lists this ribosomal RNA (483 nucleotides) under uncultured bacterium. RNAcentral's name for it is "bacterial SSU rRNA". It matches the Rfam family "Bacterial small subunit ribosomal RNA", at positions 30 to 507 of the family's 1533-position model. The record is from RNAcentral.
UUGAACGCUGGCGGCAUGCCUUACACAUGCAAGUCGAACGGCAGCACGGACUUCGGUCUGGUGGCGAGUGGCGAACGGGUGAGUAAUACAUCGGAACGUGCCUAGUAGUGGGGGAUAACUACUCGAAAGAGUGGCUAAUACCGCAUGAGAUCUACGGAUGAAAGCAGGGGAUCGCAAGACCUUGUGCUACUAGAGCGGCUGAUGGCAGAUUAGGUAGUUGGUGGGAUAAAAGCUUACCAAGCCGACGAUCUGUAGCUGGUCUGAGAGGACGAUCAGCCACACUGGGACUGAGACACGGCCCAGACUCCUACGGGAGGCAGCAGUGGGGAAUUUUGGACAAUGGGCGCAAGCCUGAUCCAGCAAUGCCGCGUGCAGGAUGAAGGCCUUCGGGUUGUAAACUGCUUUUGUACGGAACGAAAAGCUUCGGGCUAAUACCCUGGAGUCAUGACGGUACCGUAAGAAUAAGCACCGGCUAACUACGUG